GGCCCUGUAGUGUAGCGGUUAUCACACGGGAUUCUGAUCAGAUCCGAUCAUAAUCGGUCGAUCGAAAUUUCCCGUAACCCAGGUUCGAUUCCUGGCAAGGCCU
The sequence is a transfer RNA, 103 nucleotides long. It matches the Rfam family "tRNA". From Rfam's summary of the family: Transfer RNA (tRNA) molecules are approximately 80 nucleotides in length. Their secondary structure includes four short double-helical elements and three loops (D, anti-codon, and T loops). Further hydrogen bonds mediate the characteristic L-shaped molecular structure. tRNAs have two regions of fundamental functional importance: the anti-codon, which is responsible for specific mRNA codon recognition, and the 3' end, to which the tRNAs corresponding amino acid is attached (by aminoacyl-tRNA synthetases). tRNAs cope with the degeneracy of the genetic code in two manners: having more than one tRNA (with a specific anti-codon) for a particular amino acid; and 'wobble' base-pairing, i.e. permitting non-standard base-pairing at the 3rd anti-codon position. The record is from Rfam.